This 253-nucleotide ribosomal RNA is filed under the name uncultured bacterium. Its description in RNAcentral is "partial 16S ribosomal RNA". It matches the Rfam family "Bacterial small subunit ribosomal RNA", at positions 524 to 776 of the family's 1533-position model. The record is from RNAcentral.
UACGUAGGGGGCUAGCGUUGUCCGGAUUUAUUGGGCGUAAAGAGCGUGUAGGCGGCCAGGUAGGUCUGCUGUGAAAACUCGAGGCUCAACCUCGAGACGUCGGCGGAAACCAUCUGGCUAGAGUCCGGAAGAGGAGAGUGGAAUUCCUGGUGUAGCGGUGAAAUGCGCAGAUAUCGAGAGGAACACCUGCGGCGAAGGCGGGUUGCUGGGCUGACACUGACGCUGAAGUGCGAAAGCUAGGGGAGCGAACGGG